ACUUGAGGGAAGGCAGUACAGAGCAGCAGCCUAGGGAUAAGAAGGAAUUCAUGUUAGCUUUUCUAUUUUCUGAAUCUUACCCACCUGAGAGUCCAAGAAAGAAGGCAAGACAGCUAUAUAGAGCCCCUCCCUCGAGUCUAGCAAUGAACAAGUAAGUAGAGACAAGGAAGAGGGGAAAUGCAGUAUCGUUAUGUUAUAGCGAGAUCAUCAGAUCAUGGGUGAAGCAAUCGUUCAUCAAAAAGUUCUUUAUCAGCCGGCGGAAAGCGUGGUAAUUCAUUCAUUUCAUCGGAAAAGGAUCGAACAGGAGUCAUCGCAUCGUUUCUAGA
This 326-nucleotide long non-coding RNA is filed under the name Hordeum vulgare. Its description in RNAcentral is "long non-coding RNA (HVUL_LNC004685)". Lineage: Eukaryota; Viridiplantae; Streptophyta; Magnoliopsida; Poales; Poaceae. The record is from RNAcentral.